Molecule: ribosomal RNA, 507 nt
Filed under: Amphisbaena mertensii
Lineage: Eukaryota; Metazoa; Chordata; Lepidosauria; Squamata; Amphisbaenidae
Description: partial 16S ribosomal RNA
Rfam family: Bacterial large subunit ribosomal RNA
Source: RNAcentral
GCCUGCCCAGUGAUACACCAUUCAACGGCCGCGGUAUCCUAACCGUGCAAAGGUAGCACAAUCACUUGUUCUUUAAAUAAGGACUAGUAUGAACGGCACCAUGAGGACCGCCUUGUCUCUCAUAGUAAGUCCAUGAAACUGACCCUCCAGUACAAAAGCUGGAAUACCCCCACAAGACGAGAAGACCCUGUGGAGCUUUAAACUGCACACCACACAUACUGGUACGAGCAGUUUUUAGUUGGGGCGACUUUGGAGCAAAACAAAACCUCCAAAAUUUUACCUACAACUCAGACGGACACGUCUGGGCCAACCAACCCACCGACCCAAUACAAUUGAUCAAUGAACCAAGUUACCCCAGGGAUAACAGCGCAAUCUUCUUCUAGAGUCCCUAUCGACAAGAAGGUUUACGACCUCGAUGUUGGAUCCGGAUACCCCAAUAGUGCAGCCGCUAUUAACGGUUCGUUUGUUCAACGAUUAAUAAUCCCACGUGAUCUGAGUUCAGACCGG